This 255-nucleotide ribosomal RNA is filed under the name uncultured bacterium. Its description in RNAcentral is "partial 16S ribosomal RNA". It matches the Rfam family "Bacterial small subunit ribosomal RNA", at positions 524 to 776 of the family's 1533-position model. The record is from RNAcentral.
UACAGAGGUCCCAAGCGUUGUUCGGAUUCAUUGGGCGUAAAGGGUGCGUAGGUGGCAUGGUAAGUCGGGUGUGAAAUCUCCACGCUCAACGUGGAGGGGUCAGCUGAUACUGCUGUGACUUGAGUCCGGUAGGGGGAGUGUGGAAUUCCCGGUGUAGCGGUGAAAUGCGCAGAUAUCGGGAGGAACACCAGUAGCGAAGGCGGCACUCUGGGCCGGUACUGACGCUGAGGAGCGAAAGCGUGGGGAGCAAACAGG